RNAcentral lists this transfer RNA (75 nucleotides) under Bifidobacterium longum. Its description in RNAcentral is "tRNA-Gly". It matches the Rfam family "tRNA". Rfam says of the family: Transfer RNA (tRNA) molecules are approximately 80 nucleotides in length. Their secondary structure includes four short double-helical elements and three loops (D, anti-codon, and T loops). The record is from RNAcentral. Lineage: Bacteria; Bacillati; Actinomycetota; Actinomycetes; Bifidobacteriales; Bifidobacteriaceae.
GCGGUGUUAGCACAACGGUUAGUGCUUCAGUCUUCCAAACUGAUGAUGCGGGUUCGAUUCCCGUACACCGCUCGA